UACGUAGGGUGCAAGCGUUGUCCGGAAUUACUGGGCGUAAAGAGCUCGUAGGUGGUUUGUCGCGUUGUUCGUGAAAACUCACAGCUCAACUGUGGGCGUGCGGGCGAUACGGGCAGACUUGAGUACUGCAGGGGAGACUGGAAUUCCAGGUGUAGCGGUGAAAUGCGUAGAUAUCUGGAGGAACACCGGUGGCGAAGGCGGCGUUCUGGACUGCAACUGACACUGAGGAACGAAAGCCAGGGGAGCAAACGGG
This 253-nucleotide ribosomal RNA is filed under the name uncultured bacterium. Its description in RNAcentral is "partial 16S ribosomal RNA". It matches the Rfam family "Bacterial small subunit ribosomal RNA", at positions 524 to 776 of the family's 1533-position model. The record is from RNAcentral.